CUCUCUUAAAAAGUUUAUUGACUUUAUCACUGGACUUUAACUUUAUAUACAGUGAUAAACUAAAUUAUUGCUACACUUUGAAACUCUUCAUUAGAAAUGAUACGUUUUAUUGUUACGUUACUUUUUAUCUUGAUCUUAUCGUUCUUGUGUCAUAGAUGUUAUUCAUAAGAAGCAGCUAUUUUUGCCCUUGUUUUGUGUAACUGGACUAAAGUAGACUACUAAAAUUACUCAGAACGGUGAAAUGGACUUUGAGCAUUGGUCUAUUCAGUGUUCAUUAAGUGGAGUUGGAUAUGGACGGGAUCACCAUCAUUCAGAAGAGCUCUGAACAUCCUGACUGACAUCAGCAACUCAAAUAUGAUCCAUAAACACACACAAACAACAUGAAUCUGAGUCACUGACUUAACUUCUGUAAAUCUCAAACUUAAUAUUAGUUUCAUAUGAUCUUUAUUAACAUUUGUAAUUCCAUGAAGACGUUUAAAAUCUAUACUGUAUGUAUUACUGUAAAUAGUAUUACAUAGAAUUAAACAGUAGUGUGCAAUAAAUACAAAGCAAAUGGCCUUAAACUGAUUUUUGUAUGUUAUUUUUUUAAGUGUGUGUUUGGCUAUCUUUUCCCUUAUUUAUCAACUUUUUAUUCAUUAAACUUUGACUUCAUGCAAAUAACCUGUCUCUACAUUGAAAUAAAUAUUAUAUCUUUGGCCAA
Molecule: long non-coding RNA, 700 nt
Organism: Triplophysa dalaica
Lineage: Eukaryota; Metazoa; Chordata; Actinopteri; Cypriniformes; Nemacheilidae
Exons: 2
Source: RefSeq, a predicted model, not a curated record